AUGUUACUCCCUCCGUCCCAAAAUAAGUGUCUCAACUUUGUACUAACUUUAGUUCAAAAGAUGUACUAAAGUUGAGACACUUAUUUUGGGACGGAGGGAGUACUAU
Triticum urartu is the source of this 106-nucleotide non-coding RNA. NCBI's taxonomy places the organism in Eukaryota, Viridiplantae, Streptophyta, Magnoliopsida, Poales, Poaceae. The record is from Rfam.